GAUGAACGCUGGCGGCGUGCCUAAUACAUGCAAGUCGAGCGAACAGACGAGGAGCUUGCUCCUCUGACGUUAGCGGCGGACGGGUGAGUAACACGUGGAUAACCUACCUAUAAGACUGGGAUAACUUCGGGAAACCGGAGCUAAUACCGGAUAAUAUAUUGAACCGCAUGGUUCAAUAGUGAAAGACGGUUUUGCUGUCACUUAUAGAUGGAUCCACGCCGCAUUAGCUAGUUGGUAAGGUAACGGCUUACCAAGGCAACGAUGCGUAGCCGACCUGAGAGGGUGAUCGGCCACACUGGGACUGAGACACGGUCCAGACUCCUACGGGAGGCAGCAGUAGGGAAUCUUCCGCAAUGGGCGAAAGCCUGACGGAGCAACGCCGCGUGAGUGAUGAAGGUCUUCGGAUCGUAAAACUCUGUUAUUAGGGAAGAACAAAUGUGUAAGUAACUAUGCACGUCUUGACGGUACCUAAUCAGAAAGCCACGGCUAACUACGUG
Molecule: ribosomal RNA, 497 nt
Filed under: uncultured bacterium
Lineage: Bacteria
Description: partial 16S ribosomal RNA
Rfam family: Bacterial small subunit ribosomal RNA
Source: RNAcentral